Molecule: long non-coding RNA, 439 nt
Filed under: Ananas comosus (pineapple)
Lineage: Eukaryota; Viridiplantae; Streptophyta; Magnoliopsida; Poales; Bromeliaceae
Description: long non-coding RNA (ACOM_LNC006059)
Source: RNAcentral
UAAAAUUUAAAUUUAAUUUAUACAAUUAUAAAUAUAAAGUUUAAACUCAAGUUAAAUUUUAAAUUCGAAUUUAUGAAGAUUUAUCACUUAUGAAAUUAGCCAUUAUCUAAGUUGGUAAGUAACAAAAUUAAAUUAGGAAAUGAAGAUUUGUUGGAUAUUAUCAAAUUUGGUAAUUAGCUAAUGCAUAGUUUCAAAUAUUAUCUUUAUGAUUGAUUGGUAACCUGUUGAGCAGGUUACCAUUGUAUAAAAGUCAAUCUUAACAUCAAAAAUUGAAUGGUCGGAUUUAAAUUGGCCGGUGUAUAGAAGUAUUUCUCAUUUUAUAAUACUCGGGAAAAAAGAUUGGAUACUUUUUUAUUUUUUUCAAUUUUUUGAAGUACAAAUUUGGUGCUUUUAACUGCCACUAUUUUUGUAUUUUGUUUGAGAGGGAGUAGUAGAGAGG